UCAAUUGCAGCCGAACAACCCUAGCUUCGAACAGUUAUCAACCAUCAUCAGGAUCAAGACAUAGUUUCCCUAGCUCAAGAAAGCAAAAUCUACUUGAGUAUGAUUUUAUCUGGCUAAUAAGCUCUCUCUAAAAAGGAUCUAAAGGUACAGAGGUAGACCUCAACAAGUGAAAGGAUGUAAAAGAGUUAAAUCUACAUAAUUCUAAAGACCUGCCACCUUCAUAACCAUUACACUUUAAGAUGAAGAGCAAGGAUCCCAAGGGACAGGCCACCACCUCAAGGAAAUUAAGGAGGGUCGAGACUUGGAAAAUUGUUUC
RNAcentral lists this long non-coding RNA (316 nucleotides) under Capsicum annuum. RNAcentral describes it as "long non-coding RNA (CANN_LNC014233)". Lineage: Eukaryota; Viridiplantae; Streptophyta; Magnoliopsida; Solanales; Solanaceae. The record is from RNAcentral.